GGUGGCUCAGUGGUAGAGCGCUUGCCUUGCAAUGCAUUAGGCCCUGGGUUCGAUUCCCCAGCACCA
Molecule: non-coding RNA, 66 nt
Organism: Dipodomys ordii (Ord's kangaroo rat)
Lineage: Eukaryota; Metazoa; Chordata; Mammalia; Rodentia; Heteromyidae
Source: Rfam